This 482-nucleotide ribosomal RNA is filed under the name Chasmagnathus convexus. RNAcentral's name for it is "partial 16S ribosomal RNA". It matches the Rfam family "Bacterial large subunit ribosomal RNA", at positions 1918 to 2598 of the family's 2925-position model. Lineage: Eukaryota; Metazoa; Arthropoda; Malacostraca; Decapoda; Varunidae. The record is from RNAcentral.
UAGUAUUAAAUGGCCGCGGUAUUUUGACCGUGCAAAGGUAGCAUAAUCGUUAGUUUUUUAAUUGGAAUCUUGUAUGAAUGGUUGGACAAAAGAAAGUCUGUCUUUACACUGUUUACUGAAUUUAACUUUUAAGUGAAAAGGCUUAAAUAAAUUAAAGGGACGAUAAGACCCUAUAAAGCUUAAUAUUAAAAUUUUAUUUGGUUGAAUUUUUAAUUAUAAGAACUUAGUAACUAAAUUUAUUUUAUUGGGGUGAUAAGAGUAAAAUGAUUAUUAACUGCUUAAUCUCAAAUACACUUAUAGGUGAUUAAAUUUUUAAAUGAUCCUAAUUAAAGAUUAAAAGUUCAAGUUACUUUAGGGAUAACAGCGUUAUUUUUCUUAAGAGUACUUAUCGAAAGAAAAGUUUGCGACCUCGAUGUUGAAUUAAAAUGUCUUUAUAAUUGCAGCAGUUAUAAGAGUGGGUCUGUUCGACCUUUAAAAUUUUA